Culex quinquefasciatus (southern house mosquito) is the source of this 750-nucleotide long non-coding RNA. RefSeq lists it as uncharacterized. The transcript has 2 exons. NCBI's taxonomy places the organism in Eukaryota, Metazoa, Arthropoda, Insecta, Diptera, Culicidae. The record is from RefSeq and is a predicted model, not a curated record.
UAACAAUGGCUACCCUGGUUACGGUCGGGGUCGGGCCUUGGUGAUCGUUGUUGGUGUUUGGUGGGCUACUGCGAUCAACGAUUGGUUUUUUUCGGAUGGUUGUCAACCCGGGUAAACAAUCGAGCAAAAUCGAGAGACGUCCGCCAGCACGGCGUCGAUUACUACAGGUUCUCGACGGACCGGGAAGAGCGCAACCGGCAGCGAGAAGGAGAACCUGCUUGCCACCCGAGACCGCAUCAUAGUGCGGCCAAAGAGCUGUACGACGCGGCGGAGGAACGGGAACGCGCCAAGGCGGAAGCUAAGGCGAAAAGGUAGCGCGAAAAGGACGAACGAAGGUGGAAUGGAAGAUAUUUUCCUGCACGAGGAGCUCCCAUCCCGGGCGCUUUAAACGCAGAGACGGCGGAAAAACGACCCAAUCUAAAGCAGCAUCGAGUGCCGAUACGGAUUACGGAAUGAGCUUAGCGAGGAUGAAGAGGAAAAGGUAGAAGAAGUUCAGCGUGGAAAGGGCGUUGAAAUUGCCCCACCACUAACUUUCGAUUAUUACGGGCCGACGACGGAUAAAGGGGCAAAAAGCGCCGCGUAAGCCACCAGUUUCGAAAACUACCCUCGAGGCGUCCAUUGAGCCGGGGCUGAAGUUUAUGCGGAAUCAAUCGGACGUAAAACAGGUGGACCUCGAAUGCGGAUUACUAGUGAGAGAUAGCUCCGGGUGUAAAUAAGUUGGAAUGAAAUAUACAGAAUUAUAAGUUUGGA